RNAcentral lists this ribosomal RNA (798 nucleotides) under Fusarium oxysporum. RNAcentral's name for it is "SSU rRNA". It matches the Rfam family "Eukaryotic small subunit ribosomal RNA", at positions 69 to 876 of the family's 1831-position model. The record is from RNAcentral. Lineage: Eukaryota; Fungi; Ascomycota; Sordariomycetes; Hypocreales; Nectriaceae.
GCAAUUAUACCGCGAAAAUGCGAAUGUCUCCUUAUAUACGUUAUCGUUUAUUUGAUAGUACCUUACUACUUGGAUAACCGUGCUAAUUCUAGAGCUAAUACAUGCUAAAAAUCCCGACUUCGGAAGGGAUGCAUUUAUUAGAUUAAAAACCAAUGCCCUUCGGGGCUCACUGGUGAUUCAUGAUAACUCCUCGAAUCGCAUGGCCUUGUGCCGGCGAUGGAUCAUUCAAAUUUCUUCCCUAUCAACUUUCGAUGUUUGGGUAUUGGCCAAACAUGGUUGCAACGGGUAACGGAGGGUUAGGGCUCGACCCCGGAGAAGGAGCCUGAGAAACGGCUACUACAUCCAAGGAAGGCAGCAGGCGCGCAAAUUACCCAAUCCCGACACGGGGAGGUAGUGACAAUAAAUACUGAUACAGGGCUCUUUUGGGUCUUGUAAUUGGAAUGAGUACAAUUUAAAUCCCUUAACGAGGAACAAUUGGAGGGCAAGUCUGGUGCCAGCAGCCGCGGUAAUUCCAGCUCCAAUAGCGUAUAUUAAAGUUGUUGUGGUUAAAAAGCUCGUAGUUGAACCUUGGGCCUGGCUGGCCGGUCCGCCUCACCGCGUGUACUGGUCCGGCCGGGCCUUUCCCUCUGUGGAACCCCAUGCCCUUCACUGGGUGUGGCGGGGAAACAGGACUUUUACUGUGAAAAAAUUAGAGUGCUCCAGGCAGGCCUAUGCUCGAAUACAUUAGCAUGGAAUAAUAGAAUAGGACGUGUGGUUCUAUUUUGUUGUUUUCUAGGACCGCCCGUAAUGAUUAAUAGG